AUGGACGAGAUGCUGGCUUCAUCCCUACUGCAUACGGAGCCGCCAUGGAUGAUGAACCACGCCGACGGCCUGCUGACCAGUUUUGUCACCCUGGCGCUGUGCGGCACCGGCCUCGCCGGAUGGCUUGUGUUCGGGCGAACCAGGAGACUUGGGCACGUUGCGCCUGCUCCUGGCACCGGCUGUGAUGAAGCAGGGCAAGGUAUACAAGAGCAAGACCGCCUCAUCGAACAGAAUUCCGGUGCCGGGCUGGAGUCAACGGAGGAUCCAUAUGCUUCUCCAACACUCAACGUGAUCCACCCCUGGCUGCUGGAGGUCAAUCUGUUACGCGGCCUCCGUCACGAAAACAUCGUCGCACUGGUGCCUGCUUCCACUCCCGGCAGCGAGCUCGUCUACGAGCACGCGGAGAACGGUACCCUUCAUAAGUGGCUGCACCCGCCCCUCCUGCCGGAGGCGGGCGAGUGCUGUCCCCGCCCACCGCUGACCUGGCCGACGAGGAGGGCCAUCGCCAUCGGCGUCGCAGGAGGGCUGUCCUACCUGCACGAGCAAUGCAUCGUCCACCACAACAUCAACUCUAGCAACGUAUUGCUUGACCGUGCCUUCAAGCCCAAGAUCACGGGUUUCGGUCAUGCCCAAAAGAUCAACAUUGCCGGAUCGGACGACGGAGACGAACAACCACCGCCCACGUUUCAACCUCUUACCGGCAACUUUGGAUACGCGGCUCCAGACUAUGUGACAAUGAUAGGUGAGUUGACCGAGAUGGUUGACGUGUACAGCUUGGGCGUGGUGCUACUGGAGCUAGUAACCGGGCGGGCGGCCAUUGAAUUUGCCAUCACCGACGAUGGAGGCGGAGUCCCAUGUAGGAGCUGGCCACGAGUUUGGCACUUGCCUGCCUGGGCGCAUGAUGUGAUGAACAGAGGAGGUUUCAGCAGCAAUGUGGUUGACAUGGCCAUCCCAAAUAAGGCAUGGUAUAUGAGGGAGAUGGAGGCGGUGUUCAAGCUCGCCGUGGAUUGCACCAUUAGGCAGGCGCACCUGAGGCCGUCCAUGCAGAGGGUUCUCAAACAACUCCGAUACCAUGGCAGCACGUUGUCGUGGAUAAAAAGCCGUCUCAGGUGCUGCCUACUGUGA
Molecule: ribosomal RNA, 1125 nt
Filed under: Triticum aestivum (bread wheat)
Lineage: Eukaryota; Viridiplantae; Streptophyta; Magnoliopsida; Poales; Poaceae
Description: partial small subunit ribosomal RNA
Source: RNAcentral